UAGAGUUAUUUAACUCCCAAACCCAUGUGAACUUACCAUUGUUGCCUCGGUGGAACUACCCUGUAGCUACCCUGUAGUUACCCUGUAGCGCCACCGGUGGAUAUUACAAACUCUUGUUAUAUAUUGUCAUCUGAGAGUCUUAUUUUAAUAAGUCA
This 155-nucleotide unclassified non-coding RNA is filed under the name uncultured Xylariales. RNAcentral's name for it is "sequence contains ITS1". Lineage: Eukaryota; Fungi; Ascomycota; Sordariomycetes; Xylariales. The record is from RNAcentral.